This 221-nucleotide ribosomal RNA is filed under the name uncultured bacterium. RNAcentral's name for it is "partial 16S ribosomal RNA". It matches the Rfam family "Bacterial small subunit ribosomal RNA", at positions 113 to 334 of the family's 1533-position model. The record is from RNAcentral.
CGACGUGGAUAACCUGCCUCACACAGGGGAGUAACAGUUAGAAAUGACUGCUAAUACCGCAUAAGCGCACGGCAUCGCAUGAUGCAGUGUGAAAAACUCCGGUGGUGUGAGAUGGAUCCGCGUCUGAUUAGGUAGUUGGUGGGGUAACGGCCCACCAAGCCGACGAUCAGUAGCCGACCUGAGAGGGUGACCGGCCACAUUGGGACUGAGACACGGCCCAA